Juglans regia (Persian walnut) is the source of this 2904-nucleotide RNA transcript. It is a transcript of the gene named CTD small phosphatase-like protein 2, with no coding region annotated. NCBI's taxonomy places the organism in Eukaryota, Viridiplantae, Streptophyta, Magnoliopsida, Fagales, Juglandaceae. The transcript is spliced from 8 exons. The record is from RefSeq and is a predicted model, not a curated record.
UCCAGCAGAAGCCGACAUCAACUAUGUCUCUGACCAUUCGUGGAAGUUAAGGACUUGAGAUUUCAACAAAGAGGAGGGAGAGGGAGGGGGAGGGGGAGAGAGCGAGAGGGAGUCUCAGCUACUUUCGGUCCCUGCUGCUGGUUUGAUUGUUUCGAGGGUUUUGUCUCCCACUGUUCCUGAAUCAAGUUUGUAGUACAUUCUUGAAGCACAGAUCAAAUGCCCUCAUUGAAAAUGAAGAACAAAUUGAGCACGAGUUAUUUCAAAGAAAAAAAUGGUCUUCAUGUAUCUCAAAUGUCCAGUAAAAUUGCCAAAAACUCUUGCCCACAAUUCAGGAUUUCUGAACAAGCAUCAGAAUUGGACACAUUUAUUCACAAAUGCCAGGAUGUUUCUUUGAGCACACAAGCAUCCAUGAAGAACAUUGGAAGUGACGAAUCCAUUGACUGUGAAGAAUUACUGGAUGAAGAAAUAUAUCAGUUCCAGCAGCAGCCAACAUUUUUUGUUUGUUCUGCAAGCAUUGGGAGAACGGAAUCAACCCACAGUUCAGACCUAGGGACGAUUUUCUCUCCCACUUUGGAGCACAUUGAAAGCCAUACUGAACCAAAAGCUGAUGAUGAUGCAGGGAACAUCAAAGAUCCUGACAUGCCAGGGUUGGGAACUGAUGACAGUGAUGAUAAUAGAAGCUCAUCUGACUACCAAACUUGUGAUGUAUCAGAUUUCUACAUAUCUGACAUGAUUGUUGCUAGCUUUCCCUUCAGUGGGAAUACGUUUGAUGAUGAUAUUAAUGUGGUUAACUGCUUUCCUGAUUACAACUAUGCUGAGCAGAGUCUGUUGUUUGAUGUCUCUGAACAAUACAUGACGCUGCCUUUCCUUGAGGAUAUGGUCAAAACCAGUGACAUAACUGAUACCCAAUCACAUGAAGAAGCUAUGGUUUCAGAUAAUAGUAGCUCAUAUGUAGCAAUUGGUCAAAGGAGAUCAUGCAACUCGGAAACUGAUGUUAACACUGACUCAGACCCACAGAUGUUCAUAAAAAAUUUACCGGAACUCUCAGACGUGGUAUCGAACUUCCAGCCUACUAUACUGCCAAAGGAUACUCAGAACAGGAAACCUGUAACACUAGUACUUGACUUGGAUGAAACACUUGUCCACUCCACAUUGGAACACCGUGAUGAUGCUGACUUCACGUUCACAGUUUUCUUUGACAUGAAGGAGCACACUGUAUAUGUGAAACAGAGGCCUUAUCUCCAUACAUUCUUGGAGAGAGUUGCAGAAAUGUUUGAAGUUGUUAUUUUUACUGCAAGCCAAAGCAUCUAUGCAGAACAACUUCUUGAUAUAGUGGAUCGAGAUGGAAAGCUUAUAUCUCGCAGAGUUUUCCGUGAAUCAUGCAUUUUCUCAGAUGGUAGUUACACUAAAGAUUUGACAGUUUUAGGUGUUGAUCUUGCAAAAGUUGUGAUAGUUGAUAAUUCUCCUCAGGUUUUCCGGUUGCAAGUCAAUAAUGGGAUUCCUAUAAGGAGUUGGUUUGACGAUCCAUCAGACUGCGCACUAAUUUCCUUACUUCCGUUCUUAGAGACUCUGGUUGAUGCUGAUGAUGUACGUCCAAUCAUUGCUGCGAGAUUCAGUGACAAGGAAUAAGAGCCCCUUAUAUAUCUCAUUAGCUUGAAUAUAGCAGCUCCUUCUCCCUCUCAACCAUUUGAAUGCAAAAACUGGCUUCUAGUUUAGAUGCUCAAUACCAUUCCUCUCUGAUCUCGAGCUUGCAGUUGGACAUGUAUGUUCAUGAAGGAUGUAAAUGCAGAGUGAUUUUGAUCUGAUGAAUAUCUGGAGAGUUGGGAGGUACUGUGCAUGGAGAGGGAUCUUUUCAGGAAAAUUAGGCUGGUUGUGACCAGAACAUUAUAUACGCAUUGAACCUGUUCUAUCUGCAGUGAUUCUGCAGCAUAAGGAGCAAGUCAGUAAUUCAAUGUGUCAAUUCCUUAAUGAUAAUAUCCAUGACAAUAUGUAGACAAAUCAGGUCUGCUCUUAGUGUUAUAUAGGCAGAUGAAGAUGUAUUUUAUUUCGGUAAUUAAACUGAACACUUGGAGUUGAGUUGAAUUGAAAAGAUCAAAGUAGGCAAUAAGUUAAACACUGCCUGCAUAUUGUGUAUUUUGGUGGGAAAGGAACAUCAGAAAUUGAAGACUAAAAGGACAUUGGAGGAGCUCAAAGCUUUAUUUUUCAGUACUCUCUUCCUUUGGACAGCCUCUAUAAACUCUAGUGGGCUAGCUUUUCAGGAUGUUUUCAUAUAUAGAUAAGUGAUUCUAUACAUAAUGUGUACUUUGGUGUGCUUUUUAAUGAUUAUAACUUAUAAAAAGAAGUCCAACAUUGAGAGGAACCCGUGUUUAUCUGAGAAGGUACUUCUUUGAGAUGCAUUAUUCUCGAAGAUUUUGAAUUUAUGCCCCCCCUGUUAUGUUGCUCAACUGACGGACCUAGCAUUCUCAACAACUCAAUUAUCAGUGAAAAUUGUCAUGAGGCUCCCUACCAAGUUAUAAUUUUGUCAUUGGAUCACGGGGAAAAUUGCUCUGUUUUGAUAAAAAAAGCUUUUGAGAUUAUAUAUGGUCAAACGGACGAUAGAGGUAUAGUGCUCUAUUUGAAUUGAAGGCUAAUUGUGGGUAGUGCUAUAGAUAUGAGGCUAUGUUUGAAUCGAUGGAUCUGGAAUCCUAGAACUGGGAGUAGCCUGUUGAAUUGGUGGAUUUUGUUGAUAGUCAAGUGAAGAGAAAAUAGGUCCAAAAUGCUCUUCACUUAAACCAAGAAUAGGAGAGACAGAUGAUGAAUUAGGGGGUGUAUAAAUUAUCUUAUUAUCACUCCUUGCCAUGAUCUUCUGCUGAAUGCUGAAUCUAAUAGUGGACUAUUACACUUUCACCUUUCUGUAUACCUUUU